This 386-nucleotide unclassified non-coding RNA is filed under the name uncultured fungus. RNAcentral's name for it is "partial contains 5.8S ribosomal RNA and internal transcribed spacer 2". The stretch from base 1 to 133 matches the Rfam family "5.8S ribosomal RNA", at positions 22 to 154 of the family's 154-position model. The record is from RNAcentral. Lineage: Eukaryota; Fungi.
UGGUUCUCGCAUCGAUGAAGAACGCAGCGAAUUGCGAUAAGUAAUGUGAAUUGCAGAAUUCCGUGAAUCAUCGAAUCUUUGAACGCAUCUUGCGCUCUCUGGUAUUCCGGAGAGCACACCUGUUCGAGUGUCUUGAAUUUCUCGCACCUUCAUAUUCUCCGGAAUUGAAGGCGUGGUUAUGGGCAUUGCUAUCUUACAGAUGGCUUUCCUCAAAUGUAUUAGCUGAUCCCAGUUGCAGACUUGGUUCUACUUGGCGCGAUUAAGUUUGACCGCUGAGGACAGUCCUUUGACAGGAUUGGCCAUGAUUGCCUAGGAUUGCUUCUAAUCGUCUCUUACUGAGACAUAUUGAAACAUUUGACCUCGGAUCAGGUGGGACUACCCGCUGA